This 228-nucleotide long non-coding RNA is filed under the name Elaeis guineensis (African oil palm). RNAcentral's name for it is "long non-coding RNA (EGUI_LNC048593)". Lineage: Eukaryota; Viridiplantae; Streptophyta; Magnoliopsida; Arecales; Arecaceae. The record is from RNAcentral.
CCCAAGGAUUGAUUUUGAUGGAUAACAAAAUAUUUGAGCAUAUAGUAGAACUAAUGGUUUUAUAAAGUUAAUAUUUUAAAAAAAUUCUAAAUGAUCAAAAGAAUGGAUCUAAAUACUUAAAUAAAACUAAAACAAGAAGUUUUUGAAAGCCUUCAUAUAGUGAAAGACUAUGAAAAUCAAGGUGGAAGAGAUCCUUAAAAGUUGAGAUCAAAAAGUCACUCAUGCAGA